This 429-nucleotide ribosomal RNA is filed under the name bacterium. RNAcentral describes it as "partial 16S ribosomal RNA". It matches the Rfam family "Bacterial small subunit ribosomal RNA", at positions 355 to 776 of the family's 1533-position model. The record is from RNAcentral.
UAGGGAAUCUUCCACAAUGGACGCAAGUCUGAUGGAGCAACGCCGCGUGAGUGAAGAAGGUUUUCGGAUCGUAAAGCUCUGUUGUUGGUGAAGAAGGAUAGAGGUAGUAACUGGCCUUUAUUUGACGGUAAUCAACCAGAAAGUCACGGCUAACUACGUGCCAGCAGCCGCGGUAAUACGUAGGUGGCAAGCGUUGUCCGGAUUUAUUGGGCGUAAAGCGAGCGCAGGCGGAAGAAUAAGUCUGAUGUGAAAGCCCUCGGCUUAACCGAGGAACUGCAUCGGAAACUGUUUUUCUUGAGUGCAGAAGAGGAGAGUGGAAUUCCAUGUGUAGCGGUGGAAUGCGUAGAUAUUUGGAAGAACACCAGUGGCGAAGGCGACUCUCUGGUCUGCAACUGACGCUGAGGCUCGAAAGCAUGGGUAGCGAACAGG